Molecule: small nuclear RNA, 151 nt
Organism: Heterocephalus glaber (naked mole-rat)
Lineage: Eukaryota; Metazoa; Chordata; Mammalia; Rodentia; Bathyergidae
Gene: U2
Rfam family: U2 spliceosomal RNA
About the family: U2 is a small nuclear RNA (snRNA) component of the spliceosome (involved in pre-mRNA splicing). Complementary binding between U2 snRNA (in an area lying towards the 5' end but 3' to hairpin I) and the branchpoint sequence (BPS) of the intron results the bulging out of an unpaired adenosine, on the BPS, which initiates a nucleophilic attack at the intronic 5' splice site, thus starting the first of two transesterification reactions that mediate splicing.
Source: Ensembl
AUCACUUCUCGGCCUUUUGGCUAAGAUCAAGUAUAGUAUUUCUGAUUUUAUUUUUCCCAGAUCCUCUUUUGUUGCCAGUUCAGAGAGUCCAGGUGGUUGAGUAUCAGACUGUUCCAUCUCAUUUCCCUUCGGGGUUGCUGCAGGUGAUCCA